This 91-nucleotide microRNA precursor is filed under the name Canis lupus familiaris (dog). RNAcentral describes it as "mir-8799 microRNA precursor family". It matches the Rfam family "mir-8799 microRNA precursor family". Lineage: Eukaryota; Metazoa; Chordata; Mammalia; Carnivora; Canidae. The record is from Rfam by way of RNAcentral. RNAcentral also lists the same sequence under 1 other name.
GGGGGUUGGCCGGAUCCUUGCCUGUGUCCCCAGCGCCCUGUGCUCCGGGGCCUGCACUGUUGGAUUCGUGCUCCCGGCCGCGCAGCCCCCU